GAUGAACGCUGGCGGCGUGCCUAAUACAUGCAAGUCGAGCGAACAGACGAGGAGCUUGCUCCUCUGACGUUAGCGGCGGACGGGUGAGUAACACGUGGAUAACCUACCUAUAAGACUGGGAUAACUUCGGGAAACCGGAGCUAAUACCGGAUAAUAUAUUGAACCGCAUGGUUCAAUAGUGAAAGACGGUUUUGCUGUCACUUAUAGAUGGAUCCGCGCCGCAUUAGCUAGUUGGUAAGGUAACGGCUUACCAAGGCGACGAUGCGUAGCCGACCUGAGAGGGUGAUCGGCCACACUGGAACUGAGACACGGUCCAGACUCCUACGGGAGGCAGCAGUAGGGAAUCUUCCGCAAUGGGCGAAGGCCUGACGGAGCAACGCCGCGUGAGUGAUGAAGGUCUUCGGAUCGUAAAACUCUGUUAUUAGGGAAGAACAAAUGUGCAAGUAACUAUGCACGUCUUGACGGUACCUAAUCAGAAAGCCACGGCUAACUACGUG
RNAcentral lists this ribosomal RNA (497 nucleotides) under uncultured bacterium. Its description in RNAcentral is "partial 16S ribosomal RNA". It matches the Rfam family "Bacterial small subunit ribosomal RNA", at positions 28 to 507 of the family's 1533-position model. The record is from RNAcentral.